Molecule: long non-coding RNA, 3755 nt
Filed under: Lynx pardinus (Iberian lynx)
Lineage: Eukaryota; Metazoa; Chordata; Mammalia; Carnivora; Felidae
Source: RNAcentral
GGAAGCCUGAAACUCAAGUGGUCACAAAACAUAGUCCCUAUAUUUGUUACAAAGCUUUUUUUUUUUUCUUUUUUUUUUCUUUUUUUUUUUUUUUCCUUUUUGGACAUGAUCAUUGUGUGGUUCUUUAGUACUUAGUGUAAGACUCUGCUUUCUGAGUCUCCAGAAAUGACUUCUAGGGCCUCCACUGCCACCAGGGAAUGUGAAUCUAGAGAAGUUUGAGGAAGAUACUGCAUAUUGGUUCAUUCUACACCAGAAUUUCUCAAUCUUAGCACCAUUGACAUUUUGAGCUGGAUAAUUCUUUGUUAUGAGUUCUGUCCUGUGCAUUGUAGGAUGUUGAGCCACAUGUCUGGCCUCUACCCACUAGAUGCUACUAUGUUGGACAAUUGAGAAUCACAGUUGACCCUUGGACAAUGUGGGUUUGAAUUGAGCAGGUUCACUUACACAUGUUUGUUUGUUUUUUUUUUUUCAAUAAAUAUUUUGGAAAAUGUUUUGGAGAUUUGCAAAAAUUUGAAGAACUUCGCAGAUGAACCCCAUAGCCUGGAAGUAUAGAAAAAAUUAGGAAAAAGGUAUGUCAUAAAUGCAUAGAUACUAGUCUAGUUUAUUAUUUACUACCAUAAAAUGUACACUAAUAUACAUAAAAUACACACAAAAUAUAGAAAGUUAAAAUUUAUCAAAUCUCACAAACACUUAAUGGACUAUAUAUGGUGGCAUGCACAGUUGAGAGAAAUGUAAACAAACAUAGACCUAGUAUUAAAUUGUAACUUCAUAAAAUGUACCGUAGUAUAUACUGUAGUGUUGUAGUAAUUUCAUAGCCACCUGCUAUUGCUACUGCAGUGACCUUGAGUGUCGCCAGUAUCCACUUAAAAUGCCCUGUGAGAUUAAUCAUCUCUUGUGUGAGCAGUUCCUUUCUCCAGCAAAUUGUAGAUCACAGUAAAAAGUGAUCUCUCCUGGCUCUCACUAUUAAUACUUAAGUUUUGAGAGCGUCAAAAGUUAUGUUCAGAUUUUGACUGUGUGGGGGAGUCGGGGCCUCUAACCCUCAUGUUGUUCAAGGGUCAGCUGUGUAAUUUGGAUUUAUUAACACUGACUAAUCAAUAUUAAAGGGAUAAGCAACUCAAAGGUAGUCAGUUACCAUUGGCACAGCUCUACCAGACAUUAAAAUAUGAAUGCUGCACUUCCAGACCAGUUGGUGAAUGGCAACUAGUUGCUAUCCUGAGCCCUCAAGUAGUCCCUGCUUACCUGACUUCCUGGGACCCUUCCUUGGGGUCUCUCAAUUUGGAUCUCCUAAUUAUUGACCAAGUAAGAUGACUGGCACAUUUGGGGCCUUCAGAAAGCUUUUCUAGCUCUGUGGCCAGCAUGUGAUCUGACUGGUACCAUACUGGUUAUUAAAUGUGUAUAUAUUUCAUUUCAGGACAACUUCUUCCAAAUUAUUUCUUUAACCUUACUCCAAACCAAGCUAACUCCAUUGUGUUUUGUUUCAAAUUACAGUUUACUUCAUCUGCAUUUUUUUCUCCUCAUAAAGCCAUAUAAAUAAGAAGAGGACUCUGCCGUGAAGACAAAUGUGAGUGAGCAUGAGCAGUGAAGCUCUGAAAAAGCCUUUUACUUUUUUUGGUCAAAUUCCCACAGUGCUCUUAGCUACCAUCACUGUUAUAGUUAAAAUACUGUGACUUUUCCAUGUCUCUAUCUCUUUUCUCUGCCUGUGUUUUCACUAUUUUCUCCAUGAUUUGGCUGAUCUUUACAGUUUCUCCCAAAUUGACUAAUUUAAUCCUGGUAUUUUUACUAACUAGCUGUCAUGCCUUCCUACCUUCUAAAAAAAAUUUUCCCCCUAUGAAGAUUACUACCCACUGAACAAGAGGAAAGGGGAAGCAAGAUAAGAAAUUGUAUAUUCUAUGUUGUUGUAACUAUGAAAAAUUAACGUGUUAGACUGGGUUCUCCAAAUGCAGGCUCCAAACUGUUCAAGGAUUAGAUUAGGAGAAAUGCCUGUGAGAAAAAGUGGGGAGGUAUGAGAGAAAAAUGGGGAGAAGGGAGAAAGACCACAAAGCAACCCUGAUCCAUAGUGAUGGGGAGCAGGAAGUAGGUUAGGGGGAAGUAUCCUAGACUAAUAUGAACUCUAAGGAAGGUUUGGCAAGGCUAUAAGGGAGUUCUUAAGCCAAAGUCUGUCAUUAGAGGAGUCCUGUGUCUCAGAAAUGGACCUGCCUUGGUAUUUGCAUUUUCUUUAGUCACUGGCUAAAAAGCAUGGCCUCUUUCACAAAGUGGAUGAUGGAUUUGGGGGCACAGAACCUGGGGCUCCUGGUCCUUUACACUGCUUGUAGCUGGAAAUCUAUAAGGUAUGCUACCCUUCUUUUCCAUGUAGCCCCCAUAAUUCCUCCUGAAAGAACAAGUUCAUGGCUUCAGACUCUAACAUUCUGCUGAGACCUGAAGCUGCAAAUACAUCAAAGCAUGUACACAUCCACAAAAGUAAAAGAUAAAAAACAAUUUGUAAAGCUAUGAUGUAUCCAAAGCUAUGGAUGCAACCAUAGUUGGUUUCAUGAGGAAAGCAAUGCGAUAAACAUACACAAUAGCACAAAAGUAUAGUACAAGUAAGUACUAUAAACACAUACAAAUUUGGUACACCCAGGUGCAUAGGAUAUAAGAGAAGUCAACUUUAUGUCCGUAUCUGAAUGGGAAGAAAGAAAGGAAAAUGCAUUUGUCAGGAUCCUAGUUUUGAGUAAGGCACUGUGGUAGGUGGUUUCAUGUAUAGUAACUUAAAAUAUAUAGCACUAUUUAAGCCCCUUAUUGAACACUUAUAGCAACCUUUCAGUAGGUGUUAUUAUUCCCGAGGUAAUAGAUUCAAAGUUAAGUAAUUUGUCUAAGGCCACACAUCUAGGAAAUGAUAGAACCAGAAUACACUUCAAGUCUGCCAGUAGGGAAGUAAGGGGAGAAGGGCAUUCUUGGGCAUUCUCUGUGUAUACAUCUGCCUGCCCAAAGCAUCUGCCUGCCCAAAGCAUCUUCAGUCUUCUAAGUUUUGCAGCUGAGGGUAUUUUAUACCAUGUUUUGGGUCAACCUUCUCCACCUCAUAGUGUGGGACCAAUCCUUUCACCCAAGGGAUACUUUAAGGAGCAAAGGCUCAAUAUCAAAUUGGCCUCUUUGCCCAUCUUGGGGUGUGGAUCCUUUUUUUGUAUUCCAGUUUUGAUGAAUGGUCCCUCCCUGCCUUGGUUACCUACCCAGCCCUCUAGUUCUACUGUGAUAGCACCCCUGCUUUGACUCCUUCCAGUCUUAAGUGGUUGGAGAGUUUUCUCAAUAUAGGCCCUUCUUUAGAUCUCCUGCCCUCAGGCUUCUAAUUCUUUCUGCCCUUUACUUCUGAGGCCUCCUGGCAUGACCGAUCCAUCCUUGUAAAUUUGGGGGGGAAUUCAGACCACCUUUAAUCUGCUACAUUUAUUUGCUAAUCAAAGCUUUGUUACGAUGCUUAUUCACAGUCUCAAUCUCCAUGCAACAGUGACUCCCAUUAGCAAAUAAACAUAUUCAAAUUGCUCUGCCACCAUUGUAUUUUGACUUAUUAACACAGGGUUUCCUGGUAUCCAUCUUGUCCAAAUUAAGCCCAUCGUUGACUCAGGAAUAAUUAUAGAUACAAUUUAAUGAUCACUUUGCAUACAUUAUCGCAGCUCACCAACAUGACAGAUUGAUGUUAUUACCAUCUGUGUUCUACAGAACAUAAAAUCAAGAUGUGGAACAAAUUUGAUUUUCUGGAAGCAGACACUGAGAUAAAUUAGGGAUUAGCA